UACGGAGGGUGCAAGCGUUAUCCGGAUUCACUGGGCUUAAAGGGUGCGUAGGCGGACAGGUAAGUCAGUGGUGAAAUCUCUGGGCUUAACCCAGAAACUGCCGUUGAUACUAUUUGUCUUGAAUAUCCUGGAGGUAGGCGGAAUAUGUCAUGUAGCGGUGAAAUGCUUAGAUAUGACAUAGAACACCAAUUGCGAAGGCAGCUUACUACACAGUUAUUGACGCUGAGGCACGAAAGCGUGGGGAUCAAACAGG
This 253-nucleotide ribosomal RNA is filed under the name uncultured bacterium. RNAcentral describes it as "partial 16S ribosomal RNA". It matches the Rfam family "Bacterial small subunit ribosomal RNA", at positions 524 to 776 of the family's 1533-position model. The record is from RNAcentral.